This 88-nucleotide transfer RNA is filed under the name Planctomycetota bacterium. Its description in RNAcentral is "Planctomycetes bacterium tRNA-Ser". It matches the Rfam family "tRNA". Rfam says of the family: Transfer RNA (tRNA) molecules are approximately 80 nucleotides in length. The record is from RNAcentral. RNAcentral also lists the same sequence under 1 other name. Lineage: Bacteria; Pseudomonadati; Planctomycetota.
GGAGAGGUGUCAGAGUGGCCGAAUGAACUGGUUUUGAAAACCAGCGACCUGCGAGGGUCCGGGGGUUCGAAUCCCCCCCUCUCCGCCA